RNAcentral lists this ribosomal RNA (274 nucleotides) under uncultured bacterium. Its description in RNAcentral is "partial 16S ribosomal RNA". It matches the Rfam family "Bacterial small subunit ribosomal RNA", at positions 523 to 796 of the family's 1533-position model. The record is from RNAcentral.
AUACAGAGGGUGCGAGCGUUAAUCGGAAUUACUGGGCGUAAAGCGCGCGUAGGCGGUUCGGCAAGUCGGGUGUGAAAUCCCCGGGCUCAACCUGGGAAUUGCAUCCGAAACUGCCGGGCUAGAGUGUGGUAGAGGGAAGCGGAAUUCCGCAUGUAGCGGUGAAAUGCGUAGAUAUGCGGAGGAACACCAGUGGCGAAGGCGGCUUCCUGGACCAACACUGACGCUGAGGUGCGAAAGCGUGGGGAGCAAACAGGAUUUGAAACCCCAGUAGUCC